AAAUUGAAGAGUUUGAUCAUGGCUCAGAUUGAACGCUGGCGGCAGGCCUAACACAUGCAAGUCGAACGGUAACAGGAAGAAGCUUGCUUCUUUGCUGACGAGUGGCGGACGGGUGAGUAAUGUCUGGGAAACUGCCUGAUGGAGGGGGAUAACUACUGGAAACGGUAGCUAAUACCGCAUAACGUCGCAAGACCAAAGAGGGGGAGCUUCGGGCCUCUUGCCAUCGGAUGUGCCCAGAUGGGAUUAGCUAGU
Molecule: ribosomal RNA, 252 nt
Filed under: Escherichia coli
Lineage: Bacteria; Pseudomonadati; Pseudomonadota; Gammaproteobacteria; Enterobacterales; Enterobacteriaceae
Description: partial 16S ribosomal RNA
Rfam family: Bacterial small subunit ribosomal RNA
Source: RNAcentral